CCAGGAUUGAACUCAGGGGUGCUCCACGCUUUUGCUGAGGCUUGCUUUGAACUCUUGAUCCUUCUGCCUCAGCCUCCGGACCUGCUGGGAUUAUAGGUGUGCGCCACUGCACCCAGCUCAAUUAUAUUUGUUUUGUUUCCCUGCCUUCUUCAUGCACAUGGAUGACUGCCCACAGGACAGGGGCCACUGGGCCCUAACAAUGAAGAUGCAGCUAUUACAGGGAGACAGCACCUGGUUAAAAGUCAGGAGGCUUAAGUUCCAAACCCAGCUCGGUUAUUCCUUUCCUGGGCUCAGUUUACUGUAUUAAGGAGGGUUGCACUAGUGGUGUUUGAGGUCCCUCCUGAUAAUCCAUAAUUCGUUGCCUUGUCCUGCUUGGGUACAAAAUGAAAAUAUAAGAAUGAUAAUGCUGAGAUGACUCCCAUUUCCCAAACCCAUAUAUUGUACUCUCCUUAUUUUUGAGCAAAUUCCAUAUUUAUUGUGGCUUCAAGGACACCCAAGGUUAGUUUUAACCUCACAGAGAUGUGAUCAUCCUGCACUCGAUUAGUAGGCAUAUGGUAAUAAGGAAGCAGAAAACCAGAGCUUCGAAGUAAG
This 591-nucleotide long non-coding RNA is filed under the name Marmota monax (woodchuck). Lineage: Eukaryota; Metazoa; Chordata; Mammalia; Rodentia; Sciuridae. The record is from RNAcentral.